Molecule: ribosomal RNA, 490 nt
Filed under: uncultured bacterium
Lineage: Bacteria
Description: bacterial SSU rRNA
Rfam family: Bacterial small subunit ribosomal RNA
Source: RNAcentral
AUUGAACGCUGGCGGCAGGCUUAACACAUGCAAGUCGAGCGGAGACUUCGGUCUUAGCGGCGAACGGGUGAGUAAUACCUAGGAAUCUGCCUAUUAGUGGGGGAUAACGGCUCGAAAGGGUCGCUAAUACCGCAUAUUCUGUGAGCAGGAAAGCAGGGGAUCGCAAGACCUUGCGCUGAUUGAGCGGCCGAUAUCAGAUUAGCUAGUUGGUGGGGUAAAGGUCCACCAAGGCGACGAUCUGUAGCUGGUCUGAGAGGACGACCAGCCACACUGGGACUGAGACACGGUCCAGACUCCUACGGGAGGCAGCAGUGGGGAAUUUUGGACAAUGGGCGCAAGCCUGAUCCAGCAAUGCCGCGUGCAGGAAGAAGGCCUCGGUUGUAAACGUUAGACUUUGUUACGGUACGAAAAGGUACUAGGGUUAAGUAACCCUCGGGCGUCAUGACGGUACCGUAAGAAUAAGACACCGGCGUAACUACGUAGCCAGCAG